RNAcentral lists this ribosomal RNA (228 nucleotides) under uncultured bacterium. RNAcentral describes it as "partial 16S ribosomal RNA". It matches the Rfam family "Bacterial small subunit ribosomal RNA", at positions 30 to 257 of the family's 1533-position model. The record is from RNAcentral.
AUUGAACGCUGGCGGAAUGCUUUACACAUGCAAGUCGAGCGGCAGCGCGGGGGCGAACCCUGGCGGCGAGCGGCGAACGGGUGAGUAAUACAUCGGAACGUGUCCUUUCGUGGGGGAGUAACCAGUCGAAAGACUGGCUAAUACCGCAUGAGAUCUCACGAUGAAAGCGGGGCCGGCAAGGCCUCGCGCGAUUGGAGCGGCCGAUGUCGGAUUAGCUAGUUGGCGGGG